Long non-coding RNA from Apis mellifera (honey bee), 1496 nucleotides. RefSeq lists it as uncharacterized. NCBI's taxonomy places the organism in Eukaryota, Metazoa, Arthropoda, Insecta, Hymenoptera, Apidae. The transcript has 2 exons. The record is from RefSeq and is a predicted model, not a curated record.
UGUAUAUAUUAUUAUUAUAUUAAUUAUUAAUUUUAAUGAUCGAUUAUUCGAAUUAUUCGAGUGAUCUUGGUUUUAUCAUCUUCGAUCGUCCACGACUUUUGUCCAAACGAACGAAACUAACUGAUUUCCCACGAGAUAACCAUGCUGGAAAUUCGACGUAGAUCGAUCGCAAAAGCUCAGAUGCGAUUACAAGCGAAUUCUCGUCGAUUCUUAAUCUUGAAUAAUUCUUUCUUUGGAAAUGUUUGUCCCAUUUAUUUUUUUCAUAGUUUUUUUUGUUUUUCUCCUUUUUCGCUAAAUAUAUCAUUUACUAAUAUCUUUCUUGUAUUUCAUCAAACUAUCCAACAUAGCUAUUCAACGUAUGCAUGAAAUCACAUAUGCCAUACAAAUGCAAAAUGCAUUUUGAAUUGAGCAUUCCAUUACCUGUCAGAAAAUUUGUAAGUACUUACUUAUACUAUUAUAUAUCUCUAUGUUGUUCGAAGUGAACUUCAUCUUGAAAUGUCCGUUAUUUCGUUGCAAAUCAAAUCAGGGAUUUACGCGUGUAUAAAGUAAUUAUCUUCCUAUUUCCCACAACUGUUAAAACUAAUUUGCAUAAAAGCAAAUGCAAAAAAAAUUGACCAAUUUUUCACGCUACUUCCGAAUCUCAUUCAUUAUUUAUUUAUAACUUUGUUUUUAUAACUUAUCAUUUUUAUUUUAUAGGUUAUGUCAUGUUUUAUUUUAGAUUAAUCGAUUAUUAGAAAAAGAGACUAAUUUUAACGAAAACUUUCAAUAAUCAAUUCAAUAUCCUGUAGACUAUUUCGAUUCUAUUCAACCAGAGAAUUGCUAGGAUGUAAUCGUGUGAAUACAUAGUACGAAAUGUUCACGAAAGCUUGGUUAUAUUCGGUAGUUAUCUGAACAUGAACGAUGGAGAGAUUGUUAAGGAGUUGAAGAACGAUACCAAAUUUCCUAUCUUAUGCCAAGCUUAGAAGAUAUUUAGUCGAGUGAAAAUCGUAAUUUGAACUUAUCACGAAAUAUUUAAGACGUUAUAUUAUAAAUAUUAAAUUGCACAAGCUUAUCGACGAGAUCUAAUUCUCAUUAAUAUUCUCGUUGAUUUAUAAUUUAUAAAUAUAUUAACAAAGCGUUUGAUGAUAUAACGACAAAUAGCUUGGCGUUAUAUCUCUAUCGAAUUUAACUCCAUCAUAAUUUAUGACUGGAAGCAAGGAUUCGAGCGAAUGUUUGGAAAGUCAUCGAACUACAAAGUGUCGAUGAUAUGACUAUUUAAAGGAUACGUGAGAUAAUUUAAUAAUGGCAUUCAAUUGUUGAAUUGGUAAAGACUUUAGAGACUUUAUCUAAAGACUUUGCUUAAAAUCAUAGAGUAGAGAAACUAAUAAUAUCUUUCGAUAAAUGAUCGAUGAAAAUAUUCAGUAAAAAGAGGAAGCUAUCAAAGAGAAGAACAGAUAUAAACAAUUAAUCGAACGGUUUCUGCGGAAUGAUUCAAAAUAAAUGGUACUGUGCGUUUA